GACGAACGCUGGCGGCGUGCUUAACACAUGCAAGUCGAACGGAAAGGCCCUGCUUUUGUGGGGUGCUCGAGUGGCGAACGGGUGAGUAACACGUGAGUAACCUGCCCUUGACUUUGGGAUAACUUCAGGAAACUGGGGCUAAUACCGGAUAGGAGCUCCUGCUGCAUGGUGGGGGUUGGAAAGUUUCGGCGGUUGGGGAUGGACUCGCGGCUUAUCAGCUUGUUGGUGGGGUAGUGGCUUACCAAGGCUUUGACGGGUAGCCGGCCUGAGAGGGUGAUCGGCCACAUUGGGACUGAGAUACGGCCCAGACUCCUACGGGAGGCAGCAGUGGGGAAUAUUGCACAAUGGGCGGAAGCCUGAUGCAGCAACGCCGCGUGCGGGAUGACGGCCUUCGGGUUGUAAACCGCUUUCGCCUGUGACGAAGCGUGAGUGACGGUAAUGGGUAAAGAAGCACCAGCUAACUACGUG
Molecule: ribosomal RNA, 468 nt
Filed under: uncultured bacterium
Lineage: Bacteria
Description: partial 16S ribosomal RNA
Rfam family: Bacterial small subunit ribosomal RNA
Source: RNAcentral